GAUGAACGCUGGCGGCGUGCCUAAUACAUGCAAGUCGAGCGAACAGACGAGGAGCUUGCUCCUCUGACGUUAGCGGCGGACGGGUGAGUAACACGUGGAUAACCUACCUAUAAGACUGGGAUAACUUCGGGAAACCGGAGCUAAUACCGGAUAACAUGUUGAACCGCAUGGUUCAACAGUGAAAGACGGUCUUGCUGUCACUUAUAGAUGGAUCCGCGCCGCAUUAGCUAGUUGGUAAGGUAACGGCUUACCAAGGCAACGAUGCGUAGCCGACCUGAGAGGGUGAUCGGCCACACUGGAACUGAGACACGGUCCAGACUCCUACGGGAGGCAGCAGUAGGGAAUCUUCCGCAAUGGGCGAAAGCCUGACGGAGCAACGCCGCGCGAGUGAAGAAGGUCUUCGGAUCGUAAAACUCUGUUAUUAGGGAAGAACAAAUGUGUAAGUAACUAUGCACGUCUUGACGGUACCUAAUCAGAAAGCCACGGCUAACUACGUG
RNAcentral lists this ribosomal RNA (497 nucleotides) under uncultured bacterium. RNAcentral describes it as "partial 16S ribosomal RNA". It matches the Rfam family "Bacterial small subunit ribosomal RNA", at positions 28 to 507 of the family's 1533-position model. The record is from RNAcentral.